ACUAUGCCUAGCCCUAAACCUCAGUAGUUGAACAACAAAACUACUCGCCAGAAUACUACAAGCAACAGCUUGAAACUCAAAGGACUUGACGGUGCUUUACACCCCCUAGAGGAGCCUGUUCCAUAAUCGAUAAACCCCGAUCCACCCUACCCUCUCUUGCUCAGCCUAUAUACCGCCAUCUUCAGCAAACCCUGAUGAAGGCCACAAAGUGAGCGCAAAUGCCCACACCGCAAAAACGUUAGGUCAAGGUGUAGCCCAUGAGACGGUAAAAAAUGGGCUACAUUUUCUGCCUCAGAAUACCCCACGAAAACUCUUAUGAAACCUAAGAGUCCAAGGAGGAUUUAGCAGUAAAUUAAGAAUAGAGUGCUUAAUUGAACCAGGCCAUAAAGCGCGCACACACCGCCCGUCACUCCCCUCAAAUAUAUUUAAGGAAUACCCUAACUAAACACUCCAAUAUUUAUAUAGAGGGGAUAAGUCGUAACAUGGUAAGUGUACUGGAAGGUGCGCUUGGAUAAAU
This 517-nucleotide ribosomal RNA is filed under the name Macaca sylvanus (Barbary ape). Its description in RNAcentral is "partial 12S ribosomal RNA". It matches the Rfam family "Bacterial small subunit ribosomal RNA", at positions 789 to 1533 of the family's 1533-position model. The record is from RNAcentral. Lineage: Eukaryota; Metazoa; Chordata; Mammalia; Primates; Cercopithecidae.